GACAGAGGUGCCAAGCGUUAGGCGGAAUCACUGGGCGUAAAGGGUGCGUAGGCGGGUCUUUUAAGUCAGGGGUGAAAUCCUGGAGCUCAACUCCAGGACUGCCUUUGAUACUGAAGAUCUUGAGUUCGGGAGAGGUGAGUGGAACUGCGAGUGUAGAGGUGAAAUUCGUAGAUAUUCGCAAGAACACCAGUGGCGAAGGCGGCUCACUGGCCCGAUACUGACGCUGAGGCACGAAAGCGUGGGGAGCAAACAGG
Molecule: ribosomal RNA, 254 nt
Filed under: uncultured bacterium
Lineage: Bacteria
Description: partial 16S ribosomal RNA
Rfam family: Bacterial small subunit ribosomal RNA
Source: RNAcentral